Molecule: ribosomal RNA, 351 nt
Filed under: uncultured Providencia sp.
Lineage: Bacteria; Pseudomonadati; Pseudomonadota; Gammaproteobacteria; Enterobacterales; Morganellaceae
Description: bacterial SSU rRNA
Rfam family: Bacterial small subunit ribosomal RNA
Source: RNAcentral
GGGCGCAGCCUGGAUGCAGCCAUGGCCGCGGUGUAUGAAGAAGGCCCUAGGGUUGUAAAGUACUUUCAGUCGGGAGGAAGGCGUUGAUGCUAAUAUCAUCAGCGAUUGACGUUACCGACAGAAGAAGCACCGGCUAACUCCGUGCCAGCAGCCGCGGUAAUACGGAGGGUGCAAGCGUUAAUCGGAAUUACUGGGCGUAAAGCGCACGCAGGCGGUUGAUUAAGUUAGAUGUGAAAUCCCCGGGCUUAACCUGGGAAUGGCAUCUAAGACUGGUCAGCUAGAGUCUUGUAGAGGGGGGUAGAAUUCCAUGUGUAGCGGUGAAAUGCGUAUAGAUGUGGAGGAAUACCGGUG